RNAcentral lists this ribosomal RNA (468 nucleotides) under uncultured bacterium. RNAcentral's name for it is "partial 16S ribosomal RNA". It matches the Rfam family "Bacterial small subunit ribosomal RNA", at positions 28 to 507 of the family's 1533-position model. The record is from RNAcentral.
GACGAACGCUGGCGGCGUGCUUAACACAUGCCAGUCGAACGGAAAGGCCCUGCUUUUGUGGGGUGCUCGAGUGGCGCACGGGUGAGUAACACGUGAGUAACCUGCCCUUGACUUUGGGAUAACUUCAGGAAACUGGGGCUAAUACCGGAUAGGAGCUCCUGCUGCAUGGUGGGGGUUGGAAAGUUUCGGCGGUUGGGGCUGGACUCGCGGCUUAUCAGCUUGUUGGUGGGGUAGUGGCUUACCAAGGCUUAGACGGGUAGCCGGCCUGAGAGGGUUACCGGCCACAUGGGGACUGAGAGACGGCCCAGACGCCUACGGGAGGCAGCAGUGGGGAAUAUUGCACAAUGGGCGGAAGCCUGAUGCAGCAACGCCGCGUGCGGGAUGACGGCCUUCGGGGUGUAAACCGCUGUCGCCUGUGACGAAGCGUGAGUGACGGUAAUGGGUAAAGAAGCACCGGCUAACUACGUG